GAUCCUGGCUCAGGAUGAACGCUAGCUACAGGCUUAACACAUGCAAGUCGAGGGGAAACGACAUCGAAAGCUUGCUUCCGAUGGGCGUCGACCGGCGCACGGGUGAGUAACGCGUAUCCAACCUGCCCACCACUUGGGGAUAACCUUGCGAAAGUAAGACUAAUGCCCAAUGAUAUCCCACGAAGGCAUCCGAAUGGGAUUAAAGAUUUAUCGGUGAUGGAUGGGGAUGCGUCUGAUUAG
This 240-nucleotide ribosomal RNA is filed under the name uncultured bacterium. RNAcentral describes it as "partial 16S ribosomal RNA". It matches the Rfam family "Bacterial small subunit ribosomal RNA", at positions 15 to 244 of the family's 1533-position model. The record is from RNAcentral.